UUCCAGAGGCUCAUUCGAGAUCCCAUUUCUAUCGUGUGCAAGCAGUUUCCGAUCCAAGGGUGAGCGCUCCAUUUUCGGGUUGUCGUGGACCAUCAUAGUAGUCUUUGUAUCUUCCGAACAAUGAGACAAUCUGAUCUUUUAGUUAGUUUUUGGAUACUUCUGUUAGGUUUGGUUUUGUUUAGAAGUUCUUGUAUGAUGACUUUCGGGUCUUGGGAAUUUUAGUAGUUGAUUCGUUUCCGCACUUAAUUAUAAAGUAGAGUACUAUUUACUUGUGAAAAUAUGGGUAAACAUGGGUCUACAUGUAUUUUACCCAACCCAUUUUCACCCAUAUGAAUUAUGGGCGGGUUGAAUUGUUACCCAUUUUAUGUUGGCCCAUUUUCAACCCGCUCAAAUUUGACCCAUCCCGCCCAUUUGCCACCACGACCUGUAGGUCAUGGCUAGAUGGGCAUAAAUUAGACCCUUAGCAUAUGUGUACACCUUAGCAUUUGAUGUGUGAGUUUAUUUGUGUUAUGUACUUAUAAUGAGUUUAAAUGAAAUUAUUGUGGUAAGAUGGAGUGGGCAUAGACCCACGUAAAUUGAAAUCAUUGAUUCUUUAUUUCCUUGAUGAUUGAGAUUGUUUAUCUGAUACGCAUAACCUGCUGUGAUGGUACUUGUUGGGUGUUGAAAUUACUUGCUAUGUGCUGAAUGUCAGGUCUACUUGUUGUUUGACUCAUGUGUUGCAUGCUUCCUAAAUUGAGUCGGCAUAUUAUGUCCACCAGUACAUAGUGGUUUGUAUUGACUAAUACUUCCCUGUACUCUUCUUUUGUUGAGUGCAGAACGUGUUCCAGAGGCUCAUUCGAGAUCCCAUUUCUAUCGUGUGCAAGCAGUUUCCGAUCCAAGGGUGAGCGCUCCAUUUUCGGGUUGUCGUGGACCAUCAUAGUAGUCUUUGUAUCUUCCGAACAAUGAGACAAUCUGAUCUUUUAGUUAGUUUUUGGAUACUUCUGUUAGGUUUGGUUUUGUUUAGAAGUUCUUGUAUGAUGACUUUCGGGUCUUGGGAAUUUUAGUAGUUG
This 1049-nucleotide long non-coding RNA is filed under the name Solanum tuberosum (potato). RNAcentral describes it as "long non-coding RNA (STUB_LNC005641)". Lineage: Eukaryota; Viridiplantae; Streptophyta; Magnoliopsida; Solanales; Solanaceae. The record is from RNAcentral.